UUAUUCCUACGGGGCGCAGCAGUGAGGAAUAUUGGUCAAUGGCCGGGAGGCUGAACCAGCCAAGUCGCGUGAGGGAAGACGGCCCUACGGGUUGUAAACCUCUUUUGUCAGGGAGCAAGGUGCAGGUCGGGACCUGCUGUGAGAGUACCUGAAGAAAAAGCAUCGGCUAACUCCGUGCCAGCAGCCGCGGUAAUACGGAGGAUGCGAGCGUUAUCCGGAUUUAUUGGGCGUAAAGGGAACGCAGGCGGUCUUUUAAGUCUGAUGUGAAAGCCUUCGGCUUAACCGGAGUAGUGCAUUGGAAACUG
This 305-nucleotide ribosomal RNA is filed under the name uncultured bacterium. RNAcentral's name for it is "bacterial SSU rRNA". It matches the Rfam family "Bacterial small subunit ribosomal RNA", at positions 333 to 635 of the family's 1533-position model. The record is from RNAcentral.